UAAUCACUUGUCUUUUAAAUGAAGACCCGUAUGAACGGCAUCACGAGGGCUCAGCUGUCUCCUCCCCCCAGUCAAUGAAAUUGAUCUGCCCGUGCAGAAGCGGACAUAAGAACAUAAGACGAGAAGACCCUAUGGAGCUUAAGACAAAAAGCCAAACAUGUAAAACAACCCACAAACCAAUUGGAAUAAAAGGUAACUUAACCCUGUGUUAUCUGGCUGGAAUGUCUUCGGUUGGGGCGACCUCGGAGGAAAAACAAGCCUCCGCAUGGAAUGGGGGAAAACAUUCCCCUAAAACUAAGAAAUACAAAUCUAAGUAACAAAAAUUUUGACCAACAAUGACCCGGACUAAGUCCGAUCAACGAACCAAGUUACCCUAGGGAUAACAGCGCAAUCCCUUCCCAGAGUCCA
RNAcentral lists this ribosomal RNA (408 nucleotides) under Halosauropsis macrochir (abyssal halosaur). RNAcentral describes it as "partial 16S ribosomal RNA". It matches the Rfam family "Bacterial large subunit ribosomal RNA", at positions 1962 to 2502 of the family's 2925-position model. Lineage: Eukaryota; Metazoa; Chordata; Actinopteri; Notacanthiformes; Halosauridae. The record is from RNAcentral.